UGCGGAUUGAUGUAACAGUAACAUAACCGGCUCAUGACCAGUAUAUAAGGGUGCGAUUCCUUUAUCCGCCUUUUA
This 75-nucleotide transfer RNA is filed under the name Cladonia subtenuis. RNAcentral's name for it is "tRNA-Met". It matches the Rfam family "tRNA". From Rfam's summary of the family: Transfer RNA (tRNA) molecules are approximately 80 nucleotides in length. The record is from RNAcentral. Lineage: Eukaryota; Fungi; Ascomycota; Lecanoromycetes; Lecanorales; Cladoniaceae.